ACGGAGGGUGCGAGCGUUGUUCGGAAUCACUGGGCGUAAAGGGCGUGUAGGCGGUCCGCUAAGUCUGAUGUGAAAGCCCGGGGCUCACCCCCGGAAGUGCAUUGGAAACUGGCGGACUCGAGUCCCGGAGAGGAGGGUGGAAUUCCUGGUGUAGCGGUGAAAUGCGUAGAUAUCAGGAGGAACACCGGUGGCGAAGGCGGCCACCUGGACGGAUACUGACGCUGAGACGCGAAAGCGUGGGUAGCAAACAGGA
RNAcentral lists this ribosomal RNA (253 nucleotides) under uncultured prokaryote. RNAcentral's name for it is "partial 16S ribosomal RNA". It matches the Rfam family "Bacterial small subunit ribosomal RNA", at positions 525 to 777 of the family's 1533-position model. The record is from RNAcentral.